GUGUGGCCUUGUAACCCUGAAGAUGAGGCACCAUCACAAAUGUGACUGUACACAGUCACUGCGGUGUUAUUUCUGCCACCGAGACAUAGGAAACGUGUUAUAAUACAGCCUCCAUCUUCUGGUCCUUUGAGACCAGAUGAGGAGAGCAGUCCUCCCAAUCCCACAGAACACGGGGACAAAAUGACCUAUGCUGUGGGAGGACAGUGAUGCCGUGGGCUCCUUGUUACUGCAGCCUAAGAGGUCUGCAAAUUCUCUUCUUUCCAUUCAUAGAGCCGAGGUUAGGGACUGGAGCUCUAGAAUCAGGGAAGGACUUCUCGGUGCAGAACUUGAAGUUGACGAGCAUAAUGGUGAUGAAGAUGGUGGUGACGAUAAUGAUAAUGAUGGCAAUGAUCAUGCUGGUGGUGAUUCCUUGAGGUUUCAAGCAACAUGAGGGGCAGCAGGCCUCACAGCAUCCCUUGCGGCUGUGGCUCCCCUGGCUCAGUCUAUACCAAACUCUCUCUAACAGGAUGGACUUGACCUGCCCAGCCACUUUCAUCUACAGAGUUGAGCCAGCAACUCAGCAACACCCCUAUAUCAGGGACAAAGAUGACCUUUGGCUUCUGCCUCUUUUUCCUCCUCCUCCUCAUUCCACAGACACUUACACUGGAGGGUGACAGCCCUUGGUGGGUCUCUGAGAGCAGAAGGGGGAUUGAGCCAUAGUGAGCCAUGCCGUUGAGAUACAUGCAGUGUAACAGAUCAGGUACAUGGAGCAAACGCCUUGGUGAUAUGAAUAAUGGGUACCUGGCAGUUGUUUCCUCCUCCAGGAAGCCAUUCCUGAUCACCUGCUGGGGGCUUCCCUCUGUACACAGUCACUGCAUCUGAUAUUAUCCAGACCCACCUUGUUCCUGCUUGCUGAGUGAUCUGCCUCCCUGUGGGCCUCAGAUCCCUCAUUGGGCAGAUAAGGAAACCAGGUGACCUCACAGAGCCUGGACAACUCUGAGGAGGGCCCUUUGUCUGGUGAAGGGUUGGGGGACCAGGCUGACAUGGGGAGGCAGGAGUGAGUCUGGACACCUGAACACCUGCCGCACCUUUCUGGAG
RNAcentral lists this long non-coding RNA (1077 nucleotides) under Capra hircus (goat). Its description in RNAcentral is "lncRNA (ENSCHIG00010008839.1)". Lineage: Eukaryota; Metazoa; Chordata; Mammalia; Artiodactyla; Bovidae. The record is from RNAcentral.